This is a non-coding RNA of Chelonoidis abingdonii (Abingdon island giant tortoise), 93 nucleotides long. The record is from RefSeq and is a predicted model, not a curated record. Lineage: Eukaryota; Metazoa; Chordata; Testudines; Testudinidae.
UUAAUAUUUUACAUAAUUUGAUAUCUAGUCUAUUUUGUAUGCUGAAAUUUGGGGAGAGGGUAAUGUCAAUUUGUCAAUGUGCAAUUUGUGUGU